AAGAACUGGCUGGGAAUUGGGGAAGAUGGGAUUGGUUGAUGAGGAAUUCAUGGAGAAAAUGGCCUGAGAAAAGGGAAUGAAGUGACUUUAAAAGGAAAUGAAGGUUCCCCUGGAAGAGGACUAGUGAUGUAUAUUGCAUUCCAAGGGGAAGGAGCACAGUGUUGGACCAUCCUCUCUCAUGGCUUGGGAUGAUGUCAGAUGAUGAAUGCUGUAGACGGGGUAUCUCUGAAGAUCAUUCAAGGAUAUCUCUCUGGAAGAUAGAAAAUGAAUAAGUACUGGAAGAAAUUUUGGUGAUAAAAGAAAAAAACACAAAAGAUAGCAUUUAAAAUUUAUUUAUAAAACAGUUAUAACCCAAGUUUAAAUUCUCUUUCUUCUACUAGUCUGAAUUGUGAUCUUGCACAAAUCACUUCAAUUCUCUAGGUCUCAAUUUUCUCAGCUGUGAAACAAGGAAGCCAAC
This 457-nucleotide long non-coding RNA is filed under the name Monodelphis domestica (gray short-tailed opossum). RNAcentral's name for it is "lncRNA (ENSMODG00000047049.1)". The record is from RNAcentral. Lineage: Eukaryota; Metazoa; Chordata; Mammalia; Didelphimorphia; Didelphidae.